UCUUAUAUCCUUUUCACUUACCGACAUCGAGCAAAGAAGGAUCGAGAUGUAUAUAUUGAUUCAUAUUCUGAAUAUUUCAGAAAAAAUUGUCUAUGUCUGAUCAAUACUUUUUGGCAACACUAAGAUCAUAUGAUUGUUCAAUAAAGAAGCACGUCUGAUAGGCGUAGACUUCUUUCCCCGAGCCAGUCAUUAAUUUUCUGGCUCUAUAUCGGCCGUUUUUCGUGUUAGUGGUGUUAAAAAUAAGCAGCAGCCAUGGCGCUCAGCGAUGCAGAUGUUCAGAAACAGAUCAAGCACAUGAUGGCCUUCAUCGAACAAGAGGCCAACGAAAAGGCCGAAGAAAUCGAUGCGAAGGCCGAGGAGGAGUUCAACAUCGAAAAGGGCCGUCUUGUCCAGCAGCAACGUCUCAAGAUUAUGGAAUACUAUGAAAAGAAGGAGAAGCAGGUUGAACUUCAGAAGAAGAUCCAAUCUUCGAACAUGCUGAACCAAGCUCGUCUGAAGGUACUGAAAGUGCGUGAAGAUCACGUACGUAAUGUACUUGAUGAAGCUCGCAAGCGCCUGGCUGAAGUGCCAAAGGACACCAAACUGUACUCAGAGCUGCUGGUCACACUUAUUGUGCAGGCUCUCUUCCAGCUCAUGGAACCCACUGUCACCAUCCGCGUCCGUCAAACCGACAAGGCUCUGGUGGAGUCCCUGCUCGGAAAAGCUCAACAAGACUACAAGAAUAAGAUCAAGAAGGACGUUGUGUUGAAAGUCGACACUGAGAACUUUUUGUCGCCCGACACCUGUGGUGGUAUCGAGCUGGUUGCAGCCAGGGGACGUAUCAAGGUAAGUUCCGUUUCUUUAUUGGCAACUACGUAGCUUGGUAGAUCUAAGAAUAUAAAAUAUAAUUACGUCUAAAACCAAGAAAAGCUUAGCACAUGAAAUCUAAUUUCCAAUUUUUGUUCAACUAAAAACAGCGGACAGUGGAAACAGGUGAAGUGGAAAAGUUAUUUUAUGAUGACUGGAUUUUUGACACACAGAGCCUGCACAUGCUUUUAAAGUCGACUUGCUUAAGUCUGCAAAUCGUUUUUUGAAGUGAAACUUCUUUAGGCGCAUGAGGGUAAAAAUUUUACAGAUGUAACGUCACACAGGUAUGCAACGGAAGUGUCAUAUUUAACUCAAUCGGAAACAUGAGAAACGGCGCCAGUAAAUCAAACUACUAUUGAAAUUAAUUUUGUAAGGAAUUUUAAUUGGUUCAAGGAAUUCGAGGACGUUUCAAGGUGGGCGAGCCCCGAUAACAGCUUAUCAGUAGAUGCCGGUGCCCUACUAAGCCAAAGAGUAUUUUACAGAUCAGCAACACUCUGGAGUCUCGCUUGGAGCUGAUCGCCCAGCAGCUGCUGCCGGAGAUACGUAACGCCCUCUUCGGACGCAACCCUAACCGUAAAUUCACCGAUUAAUUCAACGGUGAACACGAACAAAGUUUGUUGUUACUAACAAUUUAUUUAAAAAAAAAGAAAAAUUCGUAUUUAUGUAGAACUAUGAUAAUGUUGAAAUAAGUGUUUUUUUUUCUUCCUUUGCCUAAUUAAUUAUAUCGUUAUGAUGAAGCGUACAAUUUUACCUGUUAGAAUGUUUACUGAUGUAUGUUCCCGUUGACCCUUCAUGAAAUGUGUAAUCGUGUGACCCUGAAUAUUUCUGAUUCCUGAGCAUUCCGAUGUGCCCAUUCUACUUUUAACUGUACGUUAGUUUCGCCUAUAAAAACAAUUUAUUCAUAAGUAUUUUAUUGGUGCAAUUCAUUCAAAUAAUGGAACGUUCAAUGUAAUUUAGAUAAUAUAGUUUAUAGGAUUUGGAAACGGUUUAAUUAAGAUGUUACCACAGUUAACUAAGUCGGGUUAUAAGUCUAAAAUUCAAAUCGUUAUUCGUUACAGUAAUUGACGUAUUGGCACCUUCGUCGUUCGUAUAUUAAAGCACGUCCACGAUUUGGCUUAGCAACGGUAGAUCUUUUUUUCUGUUCUACGUAUAAUAAUAUGAUUUUAAAUCUUCCAUCAAUGUUUCGAAAUAUCGGUGUAAAUGUAUCUUUAUCUUUAGUAGGCAGUGAUUGUUGUCUGUGAGAUUGGAAACGGACUGCAGCAUCCCAUGUUAUGUUCACUCAAAUCGAAGCAAAGAUUUGGCUGGGCGUAAUGUGGAGUCUUGUUUCAGUCUCACAGUGAAACAAUCCAAGCCUGCUGUGCUUAAUGUUCUUGGCAGUGUAACGAUUCGACUUGCUUUUGGCUGAAAUUAAUCCAUAGAGCACUGUUAGCUCAUAUGAAAUUAAAACUUUUAUUCCCGCAUAGCACUGUUACAAAUUCUAUGUAAAUAUAAAUAUGUGUUGAAA
Molecule: RNA transcript, 2350 nt
Organism: Bombyx mori (domestic silkworm)
Lineage: Eukaryota; Metazoa; Arthropoda; Insecta; Lepidoptera; Bombycidae
Gene: Vha26
Gene name: vacuolar ATP synthase subunit E
Exons: 5
Source: RefSeq, marked provisional